GACGAACGCUGGCGGCGUGCUUAACACAUGCAAGUCGAACGAUGAAGCUAGAGCUUGCUCUGGUGGAUUAGUGGCGAACGGGUGAGUAACACGUGAGUAACCUGCCCCGAACUCUGGGAUAACUGCUGGAAACGGUAGCUAAUAUCGGAUAUGACCAAUGAAGGCAUCUUCUGUUGGUGGAAAGAAUUUCGGUUCGGGAUGGACUCGCGGCCUAUCGGCUGGUUGGUGAGGUAACGGCUCACCAAGGCGACGGCGGGUAGCCGGCCUGAGAGGGUGAUCGGCCACACUGGGACUGAGACACGGCCCAGACUCCUACGGGAGGCAGCAGUGGGGAAUAUUGCACAAUGGGCGCAAGCCUGAUGCAGCAACGCCGCGUGAGGGACGACGGCCUUCGGGUUGUAAACCUCUUUUAGUAGGGAAGAAGCGAAAGUGACGGUACCUGCAGAAAAAGCACCGGCUAACUACGUGCCAGCCGCCGCCGUAA
RNAcentral lists this ribosomal RNA (484 nucleotides) under uncultured bacterium. Its description in RNAcentral is "partial 16S ribosomal RNA". It matches the Rfam family "Bacterial small subunit ribosomal RNA", at positions 28 to 523 of the family's 1533-position model. The record is from RNAcentral.